GGGCCCUCUUCAUCUGUACCUCUCAAGCUUGUGAACCCCGAGCCCAGCAAUGGUCUGUUUACAGUUUGAGCUUCCUGUACCAGCACUGGCUGCCCGGGCUGCGUCUGUUCCUGAACUUCUGCUCCUGGUAAGCCAGGGUUCUCUGAAUUCACCUGUCUCUCAAACUUGAUGGUGGUGGGGGGCACUAGUUUGACCUGUGACCUCAGUUCUCUGAUGAAUCUAAGAAAAGGUGUUGAUUUUCAGUUUGUAUGGCUUUUUUUCUUGCUUCAGGGACCAUAGUGACAGUGUCUAACCUGGAAAAUACAAGUUUUGCUUGGGCUUUUCUCCAGAUAUUUGUCCUAUUAUGAGUAAUUAUUGCCCAUGUCAUUUCAUGCAUAUGUGCCCGUGUUUGUUACCCCAGCAGGGAAAUCCUGUGUCUUGGGAUAUGCUUAUUCUUAAGUUCUAUUCAGUGUGGGACAUAACUGAGUCCCUCCCUACACGGGGUGUUGCCAGUCUUUUUAAAGAAUGCUGGGUGCUCUCUCAUUGGGAUUUUAGUUUGCAUUUACAUGAACACGAGGAAGUUGAGCACAUUUGGACCUUUCUUUCAUGAAUGGCAUGUUCAAGCUUUCUACCUACUUUCCUCUGGGGUUGUGUGUCUUGCUGAUUUACAGAAACUCUCUUGCAUGUAUCGGAUGGAUCU
This 679-nucleotide long non-coding RNA is filed under the name Marmota monax (woodchuck). Lineage: Eukaryota; Metazoa; Chordata; Mammalia; Rodentia; Sciuridae. The record is from RNAcentral.